GUCUGGCAGGCAAAGACCUAUGUUGCUCUGUGUGACAGCUGAAGACCCUGCCACUGUCCUCUACAAAGUCAUCGAGAAUGUCUACAGGAACCUAGGACAACCAUCCAGGCUGUAGGUUUGGACAGGGCCGCCCUGUGCUUGGCUGAGGACUUGCUUCGUGGGGACGGCUGUUCCUUUUGUUCUCCUGGCAGCAUUACAGUGUCCUCAACAGAGCAGAAGGGACUGACCACAGAGGAGCCUGGAGGUUAAUUUUUCAUCAGUAAGACUGACACCGUGGCCUCGCAAGAGACGACAAUGCUUAGCCAAUGGAAGCAUACAUCCUUAAUUCUGGCAUUUGGCAGACCAAGAUGGACCAACCUCUGUGAGUUCAAGGCCAGCCUGGUCUAUAUAGUGAGUUCCAGGACAGCCAGGGCUACAUAGUGAUCUGUCUCAAGAACAAUUUAUCACAUUUAAAUGUAUAUAUCUAUUUCUUUUGUGUGUUUGUAUGCAGGUGGGCAUGUGCACACCACCUUGCACGUGUGGGGAUGCGGGGAUCAGAGGACAAUUUGCUCUCUCAACUAGUUGGGUCCUGCAAGUUGAUCUUGGGUCACCAUGCUUGGCAGAAAGUGUCUUUACCUGCUGAGUUGUCUCACCACCCUUUGGAAUUUUUUGUUCUAGCUACUUCAAAAUAUACAAUAUCUUUAUAGCCAAUGGAAGCAUACAUCCUUAAUUCUGGCAUUUGGCAGACCAAGAUGGGCCAACUUCUGUGAGUUCAAGACCAUCCUGGGCUGGUAGCCCUGGGUUCUAUA
This is a long non-coding RNA of Mus musculus (house mouse), 788 nucleotides long. RefSeq annotates it as predicted gene, 41028. The transcript has 3 exons. NCBI's taxonomy places the organism in Eukaryota, Metazoa, Chordata, Mammalia, Rodentia, Muridae. The record is from RefSeq and is a predicted model, not a curated record.